Long non-coding RNA from Magnolia sinica, 865 nucleotides. RefSeq lists it as uncharacterized. The record is from RefSeq and is a predicted model, not a curated record. Lineage: Eukaryota; Viridiplantae; Streptophyta; Magnoliopsida; Magnoliales; Magnoliaceae. The transcript is spliced from 2 exons.
UCUCAAUCUCACGCCCGUCAAAACCCCUUUCUCAUUCCCUCGCUCUCCCCCUCCCUUUCUCAUUCCCUCACUCUUCGGGUUUGCAUGUGAUGAUUCCAAUAGAGAAGAUGCAGUGGCAGAGGUUCAAGGGGGUUCUAAUGGUGGACGCGGAAAGGAUUUUGGGGGCUGUCAGAUUUGGGCGAUGGCCUGACCUGAUGGGUUUGUGGGGACUACAAUGAGGGUGGAUUCGGCUUGAUUAGAUUGCAAUGGGCGACAUCUAUGGUCGAAGGUUGGAUGAGGACAGAGGUUUUCAGCGAUUGCGACUAAGGAGAGAUGGGUUUUCAGUUUUCAAUAAGGGGACGGUGGUGGGUUUCGAUGAGCGGAGAUGAUAGAUUUGAGCAGAUGUCGGAUUUGGUGAGUGAAGAUGAAGAACCGAGCUCGAGCAGUGCCAUUACUUCAGAAGGUGAUGUUAGUGGCUAUUAACAUGCUGCUAUAUCUACAUAGUAUUUGGUCUAUCAAGUUCAUCCAUAGUUCCACAAGGCAUUUGUCCACCGUGGGUACAUGUCUUUCCUUCUUCUCUUAGUCUUUUGCCUGUGUGAUUCCUAGAGAUCAUGCUUUUGUUAGAUUCUUGCAAGCAGUUUUCAUUUAUUUGAUGCUUUCUUAAAUGUAGAUGUCCUCCAUUCAGGUGAGGAUCUGCAGGUUUCUUUGCUAUAAAAAGAGUUUCAGGGGACUUGCUCUUGAAGAGGACAGUUCGUUUCAUCUGUUGCGACCAUGAAGAAAGUAUUUGAUCAGAUUAUUAGGGACCUGUUAGAAGUGCUCUUUGAUCUUUGUUUAUAAAUUAUGUAAUUUUCAUUGGUUUGGUGAUAAGUUGUUCUUGAAGUGCUUA